AGAGUUGAUCCUGGCUCAGGACGAACGCUGGCGGCGUGCUUAACACAUGCAAGUGGAGCGACGAACCGGGGCUUGCCCCGGGGCAGAGCCGCGAACGGGUGAGUAACACGUGGGUAACCCACCCCGAUGACCGGGACAACCCGAGGAAACUCGGGCUAAUACCGGAUGUGCUCCUUGACCUUGAGGUCAAGGCGUAAAGAUAGCUUCGGCCUUCGCAUCGGGACGGGCCCGCGGCCCAUUAGCUUGUUGGUGGGGUAAAGGCCUACCAAGGCGACGAUGGGUAGCUGGUCUGAGAGGACGAUCAGCCACACUGGGACUGAGACACGGCCCAGACUCCUACGGGAGGCAGCAGUGGGGAAUCUUGCGCAAUGCGCGAAAGCGUGACGCAGCAACGCCGCGUGGGGGAAGACGGCCUUCGGGUUGUAAACCCCUUUCAGUUGGGACGAAGCUUCGCCGGUGAAUAGCCGGCUGGAGUGACGGUACCUUCACAAGAAGCCCCGGCUAACUACGUGCCAGCAGCCGCGGUAAUACGUAGGGGGCUAGCGUUGUCCGGAAUCAUUGGGCGUAAAGCGCGUGUAGGCGGUCCGGUAAGUCCGCUGUGAAAGUCGAGGGCUCAACCCUCGAAUGCCGGUGGAUACUGUCGGGCUAGAGUGCGGAAGGAGGCGAGUGGAAUUCCUGGUGUAGCGGUGAAAU
Molecule: ribosomal RNA, 693 nt
Filed under: uncultured bacterium
Lineage: Bacteria
Description: bacterial SSU rRNA
Rfam family: Bacterial small subunit ribosomal RNA
Source: RNAcentral